GUCCUUUGGACAAUGGUAGGAGAGCGUUCUAAGGGCGUUGAAGCAUGAUCGUAAGGACAUGUGGAGCGCUUAGAAGUGAGAAUGCCGGUGUGAGUAGCGAAAGACGGGUGAGAAUCCCGUCCACCGAUUGACUAAGGUUUCCAGAGGAAGGCUCGUCCGCUCUGGGUUAGUCGGGUCCUAAGCUGAGGCCGACAGGCGUAGGCGAUGGAUAACAGGUUGAUAUUCCUGUACCACCUAUAAUCGUUUUAAUCGAUGGGGGGACGCAGUAGGAUAGGCGAAGCGUGCGAUUGGAUUGCACGUCUAAGCAGUAAGGCUGAGUAUUAGGCAAAUCCGGUACUCGUUAAGGCUGAGC
This 352-nucleotide ribosomal RNA is filed under the name Staphylococcus aureus. RNAcentral's name for it is "partial 23S ribosomal RNA". It matches the Rfam family "Bacterial large subunit ribosomal RNA", at positions 1209 to 1561 of the family's 2925-position model. The record is from RNAcentral. Lineage: Bacteria; Bacillati; Bacillota; Bacilli; Caryophanales; Staphylococcaceae.